UACGUAGGCAGCAAGCGUUGUUCGGAGUUACUGGGCGUAAAGGGUGCGUAGGCGGUUGUUUAAGUUUGGUGUGAAAUCUCCCGGCUCAACUGGGAGGGUGCGCCGAAUACUGAGUGACUAGAGUGCGGGAGAGGAUAGUGGAAUUCCUGGUGUAGCGGUGAAAUGCGUAGAUAUCAGGAGGAACACCGGUGGUGUAGACGGCUAUCUGGACCGUAACUGACGCUGAGGCACGAAAGCGUGGGUAGCAAACAGG
Molecule: ribosomal RNA, 253 nt
Filed under: uncultured bacterium
Lineage: Bacteria
Description: partial 16S ribosomal RNA
Rfam family: Bacterial small subunit ribosomal RNA
Source: RNAcentral